Molecule: non-coding RNA, 6173 nt
Organism: Oryctolagus cuniculus (rabbit)
Lineage: Eukaryota; Metazoa; Chordata; Mammalia; Lagomorpha; Leporidae
Source: RefSeq, a predicted model, not a curated record
UCACGUGACGGGCCGGCCGGGCGCGCGCCGCGGCAGAGGCGUAAACAGGCUGCAGCCGGGCGCCCUGCGGCCCGACCCCGGCGGGUUUGGUCUCCUUCGGGUCCGCCCGGGCGGAUCCUGUGGACCCUCGCGGGAGGGGCGGCGACGCCAAGGCCCAGGGCGGCCCCCGUCCGCCGAGAGCCUCGCUGGCUUCCGCCUUCGGGACGCCGCGGCUUCGCGCCCGGGCCUGGCGGCGCUGGGAACCGACCCAGGCGGGACGAGGCGCCCCGGGGCGGUGUCGCCCCCCGACCCGGUUCCGCCGCGGCUCGGUGGGCGGGAGGCGAGGGUCCGCGGCGCCUGCUCCCCGGGCCGCGCAGGUGCGGCCGAGCCGGGACUGCGGCCGGGGGCUUCGGGCUGGGUUUCCAAGGCGAAGCGGGUUUGGGGACGUGGGAGAGGACAGCCCAGGAGCCGGCGCCUGGUGGGAGGCUGACCGCCUUCGUCCGGGAAGCGAACGGGCCGCGGGGCCGGGCAGCCUGUGCUGGGGCCCGGGGUGUGCACGGGGGCUGCCGGCGGGUCGCCCAGGGCAGGUAGGACGAAGGACGCGCUCUGGGCGAGCAGAUGCCCGGCCUGGGCCCUGAGCCGUGGACGAACUUUGAGCAGAGAUUUAGGGACGCACAGGCUUACGAGCUGGGGGGCGGGGGCGGGGGUGGGGGGCGCUGGUCCAGCCUGGUCUCCGAGGCGAGAUCUGUGGAUGGAAACAGGCCGGGCUUUGACGGCAGCUGUAGCCAUCGCGCUAACGGGGCGAACCUCGGCUUCUGCAUCUGGGACCUGGGGUCGUAACGCCUCGUUCGUUCGUGGGAGUGCGGGGUGGGCUCGGGAAAGCUACAAGGGGACCUCAAAGUGUGUGUGGGAACAUGGAAGUAAAGCAAACGUUUGCAAAGAAAAUUAAAAAUCCGCGCGGCUCUUCGUGAUCCUCAUUUUCCGUGAGUGUCUUGAAGACGCUGUGCGUAACGCAGCCGCUGCUUCCGUUCGCGUUCGUUUUCCUGUUGCUGCGCUCGCCAGCAGUAGCUGUCACUCCCCGGGUGGGUCCAGCCUGCUCAUUUUGCUGGAGGAUAGCGUGGGGAGCGGGCUCGGGUUCUGUCAGCGCCCCCGGGGCGCGGGAGCUGGCUCCCGGCUUUGCGCUCACCGCAGUGCAGGGCGCUGGCGUGUUCAGAGACGCCUGGGACCGCCAGGGUCUGGGGGCGCUCAGAGUGAGGAGGGGGCAGGCAGCGCUCUGGGGGCCUCCUCUCCUGUCCCCUCCUUGGCCGCACCCGGCAGGAAUGCUUGCUACUGCACAGAAGAGCGUGGUGCAGAGCUCAACUGCUGGCUCUCGAGGGGGCCGUCCCCGCGUCCUACUCUGGAAGAGGACCGGUGAUUGUCUUAGCGUGGACCACCGGGGCAGAGACGGCCGUGCGGGGGUAGCGUACGCUCCGCUGGGUUGAUUUCUGCUAAACAGAUGUCAAUCAGAGAGCUACCUCCAGGCGCCACCUGCAGCCUCCCUGGGGCAGGGCCUUCCUGGCUGGCCCGCGUCAAGGCGGAGCCCUGUGGACCGGUGCUGCUGAUGUACAUGGUGGACAGCCGUUGCGUGUGUGCCCCUUCUGAGGAAGCGGAUCGCCCCUCCGGGAUUCCUCCUGUGCUCGCGGCCUGACCACAUAGCACCACCCCCAGACCACCACGUGCGGACCAGGCCUGGCCAAGCAGAGGCCCCCAUCAUCUAACCAGGUUGACUGGCGCGUUGUCGGACAUGGGACUUGAGCCAGGCCGGUCAGCCUGCUUCCCUGGGUCCUUAUCUGUGGAUGCUGAAAGAGAGGUUUUUCUCUUCCUCUGAGGGUCACAGAAGUGGCACCGGGAGCCGUGGUCCUCUGUCCUGUCCCACAGGAAACUGAGUAAGAAGUCUGGCCAGAAGAGGAAAGAGAGACAGAGAAAUGCAGGUUGCUGUCCUCCGUUUGAGCUGUUCUUGGGCUUCAGCUUCCAGCUGCCUGCGGGGCGGCCCCCAUCCGGUCACUCCGCCCUUGUACACGGCUCCUGUAGGUCAGAGCCCAAGCCCCCAAGGCCCCCGCAGUCCCGUCCCUUCCCCUCACUGUCUAGCUCCGUGUCCUCCGAGGACGUGGUCCUGCCCUGCUCAGGCCGGCUCCCCCGUCCGUCACGGCUCCCCACCCUGUGCUGGUCUUUCACUGUCUAGGCUGCCUCGUGCUGUCGCACCUGAGCCGGCCUGUGCCUCCUUGUUGCGUUUGACCAAGUUGAGGCAGGGCCAGUGGACGGAGGAAGAGGCCCUCCCACAGGGCUGCCCGGCUCCCCCCCCCCAUCCCCUAGAGGUGACAGUGCCUCCCCGCCGUCACUGCCCACCCGGCUCCCCCGUGUGUUAGCAAUGCCCCCCCCCACUCAUCCCCUAGAGGUGACAGUGCCUCCCCGCGGUCACUGCCCACCCGGCUCCCCUGUGUGUUAGCAAUGGCUCCCCCCCACACACUCAAACCCUAGAGGUGACAGUGCCUCCCCGCGGUCACUGCCCACCCGGCUUCCCCGUGUGUUAGCAAUGGCUCCCCCCCCCACUCAUCCCCUAGAGGUGACAGUGCCUCCCCGUGGUCACUGCCCACCCGGCUCCCCCGUGUGUUAGCAAUGGCUCCCCCUGCCCCCACUCAUCCCCUAGAGGUGACAGUGCCUCCCCGCGGUCACUGCCCACCCGGCUCCCCCGUGUGUUAGCAAUGGCUCCCCGCCACACUCAAACCCUAGAGGUGACAGUGCCUCCCCGCGGUCACUGCCCACCCGGCUUCCCCGUGUGUUAGCAAUGGCUCCCCCCCACACACUCAAACCCUAGAGGUGACAGUGCCUCCCCGCGGUCACUGCCCACCCGGCUCCCCUGUGUGUUAGCAAUGGCUCCCCCCCACACACUCAAACCCUAGAGGUGACAGUGCCUCCCCGCGGUCACUGCCCACCCGGCUUCCCCGUGUGUUAGCAAUGGCUCCCCCCCCCACUCAUCCCCUAGAGGUGACAGUGCCUCCCCGCGGUCACUGCCCACCCGGCUUCCCCGUGUGUUAGCAAUGGCUCCCCCCCACACACUCAAACCCUAGAGGUGACAGUGCCUCCCCGCGGUCACUGCCCAGGGAGUUCCCCACUGUUUGUUUCUCUAAAGCUACUUGCACCUCUGGCUUUUUAAUUUCCCUUUUGAGGUGUGCUGAUGCCGCACCCCCUUCUGAGAGAACGUGCCCACGGCCUGAGCUGCCCGCUGAGAACCACCCCAGACUCACGGGUGCUCACAGCGCUGAGUGGGCCUGGGUCCGCCCCUGAAAAGCUUCUCACUGAGCCAGCCAGAUUCUCCUUCCUGCUGCUUUGCAGGAAAGACCCCGGGCAUUGGUUGAGGCUUGCGACUGCACAACUCCAGGGGGCACCAUUCGAACGGCUGUGCUCCUGGGGAUUCAGGUCACCUAAACACAGGCCCCACGUGCACGCCCUCUGGGUUGUGCGGCAAGGCAGCGCUGUGUUGGCCGGCAUACGGCUUUGCAUCCAGCACCUUGGACAGCAGAGAGGAAGCAGGACGAGCAGCUAAGAGGUUGCUGGGAAGCAGGUAUGCCCCCGGGGGAGCAGGCCUGGUGAGGAGGAACACAGGGCCCUGGGGAGGCGGGAGAGCACAGGACAACAGCUCACGGCCGUGAGGCCUGGCCACACCUGCUGCUCCUGUUGGAAGGUACCUGGGUGCCUCUUCAAAACAUGUUCGCUUUCCCCGAGCCGUGUUCCUGACCAGCACGUGAGCCCACAGGUGGCAAGAACGCCUUCCCUUCUUCACCUGGGUGACACCUGCUCACACCUGUUCUUCUGCCCGGAGUCAGCUGCAACGUGACUUCCACUAGGAAAACUCGGGACCUGGAGGAGGGAGGAGGGGCACCUGCCAGCCGUGAAAUGCCUGCUUCCUGCGGUGUGUGUGCAGGAGUGGGCCUGUCUCCCUCCAAACUCUCAAGGCUCUCUCUGCUGUCCCCAGGAGGUGUGCUAGUUCAAGGUCAGACGCCAAGGUUGAAACCCGGCGUCCACGUCAGAGCUCCCUGCUCGUGGGUCUGCAAAGGGCAGUGGGAGGUGGCCCAGAUCUCUGUGAAGGCCAAGAAAGUGGGUCAGUCCUGCCUCCUGCCAGCUGACGGAGGCCCCAGCUGCCGCGGCCACACUUGCAACAGGGUCACACAUCCACGACCUCUCUCGGCCAGGGGCCAAGCAACCACAGGGAUCCUCGUGGAGGCCAGUCCUUCUGAGGUGGGGGGCGUCAGCUGGAGGCCGUCAUCUGACUGAGGGGCCCUCUCCUGAGACUGCAGUGCAUUGUGGGACUCCUCCUCACAGCCCCCCACCCACCCCGUGUCAGAUCUGCAUCACUGUGUUCUUCCAUUUUCUGUCGCUAUCGAGAAAUGCCCGAGGCCGGGCACUUGCAAGAGAAAAGCCGUUUAUGCAGCUCACAGAUUCGGAGGCUGGACGUCCAAGGUCAGGCUGCUCCCUGGAGUUGGCCUCUGCCGAGAGCCUCCUUGGCUACACCACAUGACAGGAAGCCAGAGACCAGGACGGAGUCCGUGGUUAACAUCACUCCCAGCUCGCUCACAGGCACUGCCUGGGUCCCGUGAGAGUGACUUGAUCUCCUCCGAGGGAAGACUCCAGCACCCAGUCACCCUCCAGCAGGCUCCACCCGCUGCACCUGCCCCACCUCAGCACCCCACGCUGCGGACCAAGCGUCCAGCACACAGGCCCCUGGGCCCACACUGAAGCCCCCAAACCGGGCACUGUCCGAGGGCUCUCCACCCUCUCCAGUGGCCUCGCCUGUUAGCGUUCGGUACCAGGCACUGUAUAGUUCCUAAUCUUAAUUUUGUGCGUUUCUGAGUUUUUCAGUUUAGGCUUGGUUAUCACUGAAGUAGAGAAAUUCUUGUUGAUUUUUUUGUUAGGUUCUUACAUCUAGUUGAACUCUUUGAUUCUAAUAGUUCGUCACUUACACUAAUAGUUCGUCACUUAUUGUUUACUUAUUUGGUUAUGAGGUAGAGAAUCAGAGAGAGAGAGAGACAGAGCUCCCCUCUGCUGGUUCACUCCCCAAGUGCCCACAGUAGCUCCCAGCAGGGGCCAGGAGCAGGAACCCAGCCCAGGUCUCCCAUGUGGGUGCAGGGCCGUCACCACGGCCUCUCAGGCCUGCACUGGCCGGAAGCUGGCCUCAGGAAGGGAGCCCGGCGUUGAACACAGGCACUGUGAUGCAGGAGGUGGCACCUUAACCCCUGGGCCAAAAGUCUGCCCUGGUUUUGAUGGUUGGUUUUUCUUGGUAUCUGUUCAUGUCAACUGGAAAUGAAACAGUUCUGGGCCGGCGCCGCAGCUCACUAAGCUAAUCCUCCGCCUUGCGGCGCCGGCACACCAGGUUCUAGUCCCGGUCGGGGCGCCAGAUUCUGUCCCUGUUGCCCUUCUUCCAGGCCAGCUCUCUGCUGUGGCCAGGGAGUGCAGUGGAGGAUGGCCCAAGUCCUUGGGCCCUGCACCCCAUGGGAGACCAGGAGGAAGCGCCUGGCUCCUGGCUUCGGAUCAGCGUGGUGCACUGGCUGCAGUGGCCAUUGGGGGAUGAACCAACAGAAAAUGAAGACCUUUCUCUCUGUCUCUCUCUCUCUCACUGUCCACUCUGCCUGUCAAAAAAAACAAUAUGUAUCCAUAACUCAUUACCUUCUCUGUGCAAUGGCUAGUAUUACAGGUCAGUUGAAUUUACAAACCUUGUAUCACUCUCCUUCUGUUUCCUGCCUCCUGUUCUCUGUUCUACUGUUGUCAUGGGUUUUGCUGCUACAUAGGUUGCAAGCACCACGAAACAUUGUUUUAAAUAUGUAUUUAAUUGAGAGGCGGGAUCUUUCAUCUACUGGUGUACCCCCCAAAUAGCCACAGAAGCUGGGACUGGGCCAGACCAAAGCCAGGAACUCAGAGCUUCAGCUGGUUCUCCCACGUGGGUGCAGGGGUCCAAGCACUUGGCCAUCUUCUGCCGCUUUACCAGGCGCAUCAGCAGGGAGCUGGAUUGGAAGCAGAGCAGCCGGGACUCAAACUGCUGCUCCAAUAUGGGAGGCUGGCGUUGCAGGCUGUGGCUUCAUGCGCUGGGCCACAACACCUGCCCCAUUGUUAUUGUUUUUAAAUAAGCGAUUAUGUUUAAAGAAAUAAACAGAAAAAAUGUU